GGCGACGAUCCCUAGCUGGUCUGAGAGGAUGACCAGCCACACUGGAACUGAGACACGGUCCAGACUCCUACGGGAGGCAGCAGUGGGGAAUAUUGCACAAUGGGCGCAAGCCUGAUGCAGCCAUGCCGCGUGUGUGAAGAAGGCCUUCGGGUUGUAAAGCACUUUCAGCGAGGAGGAAGGUGGUGAGCUUAAUACGUUCAUCAAUUGACGUUACUCGCAGAAGAAGCACCGGCUAACUCCGUGCCAGCAGCCGCGGUAAUACGGAGGGUGCAAGCGUUAAUCGGAAUUACUGGGCGUAAAGCGCACGCAGGCGGUUUGUUAAGUCAGAUGUGAAAUCCCCGGGCUCAACCUGGGAACUGCAUUUGAAACUGGC
This 373-nucleotide ribosomal RNA is filed under the name Serratia marcescens. Its description in RNAcentral is "bacterial SSU rRNA". It matches the Rfam family "Bacterial small subunit ribosomal RNA", at positions 272 to 637 of the family's 1533-position model. The record is from RNAcentral. Lineage: Bacteria; Pseudomonadati; Pseudomonadota; Gammaproteobacteria; Enterobacterales; Yersiniaceae.